GACGAACGCUGGCGGCGUGCCUAAUACAUGCAAGUAGAACGCUGAAGAGAGGAGCUUGCUCUUCUUGGAUGAGUUGCGAACGGGUGAGUAACGCGUAGGUAACCUGCCUUGUAGCGGGGGAUAACUAUUGGAAACGAUAGCUAAUACCGCAUAACAAUGGAUGACACAUGUCAUUUAUUUGAAAGGGGCAAUUGCUCCACUACAAGAUGGACCUGCGUUGUAUUAGCUAGUAGGUGAGGUAACGGCUCACCUAGGCGACGAUACAUAGCCGACCUGAGAGGGUGAUCGGCCACACUGGGACUGAGACACGGCCCAGACUCCUACGGGAGGCAGCAGUAGGGAAUCUUCGGCAAUGGGGGCAACCCUGACCGAGCAACGCCGCGUGAGUGAAGAAGGUUUUCGGAUCGUAAAGCUCUGUUGUAAGUCAAGAACGAGUGUGAGAGUGGAAAGUUCACACUGUGACGGUAGCUUACCAGAAAGGGACGGCUAACUACGUGCCAGCAGCCGCGGUAAUACGUAGGUCCCGAGCGUUGUCCGGAUUUAUUGGGCGUAAAGCGAGCGCAGGCGGUUUGAUAAGUCUGAAGUUAAAGGCUGUGGCUCAACCAUAGUUCGCUUUGGAAACUGUCAAACUUGAGUGCAGAAGGGGAGAGUGGAGUUCCAUGUGUAGCGGUGAAAUGCGUAGAUAUAUGGAAGAACACCGGUGGCGAAAGCGGCUCUCUUGUCUGUAACUUGACGCUGAGGCUCGAAGCCUGGGGGGCGAACAGG
This 765-nucleotide ribosomal RNA is filed under the name uncultured Streptococcus sp. RNAcentral's name for it is "bacterial SSU rRNA". It matches the Rfam family "Bacterial small subunit ribosomal RNA", at positions 28 to 776 of the family's 1533-position model. Lineage: Bacteria; Bacillati; Bacillota; Bacilli; Lactobacillales; Streptococcaceae. The record is from RNAcentral.